GUUUCAAUUCCUCAUAGGCAGGCUAUCGGCGUCACAGGGUAUACGAGGUCCGCCAAAUGUAUGACUG
Molecule: small RNA, 67 nt
Filed under: Acididesulfobacillus acetoxydans
Lineage: Bacteria; Bacillati; Bacillota; Clostridia; Eubacteriales; Peptococcaceae
Description: Peptococcaceae bacterium INE non-coding RNA
Source: RNAcentral